UCUAUAAAGCCAGGGAGCUGAUGGCGGCGAGAGGCUGCAGGGAGUAGGUUGCAGUCACUCCCUGGGGGGAGGGAGUUGUGAGGCUGGCAAACCCAGAGCCAGAAGGUAUGGAAGAAGCUUAGGGAAGGGUAGUAAGGUCCAGGAGGGAACAGAUCUUGGCUGCAGAAGAAAAGGCCAUGGAGAUGGAACCCAGAACAGGGGGCGGGCCUGGGUUCCCCUCCCGCCACUGAGGAAGCGGCACCGGCUUGGCAGUGAAUGGGAAGACUUCCUGAGCCCAUUUGACAGGAGAAACUUUGGUACCAGGGAAAGGAGAAACACAAAUAGUGACCUGGUCAGAGGGCCCAGUCACGAAGAGGAGGCUGCAGGGCCCAGAGCAAGAGAGUGGCCACAGAGAGAGAGCAGCAGCAGGGCAUGCAGCGAGCAGCAGAAGGGGACCUUGGGCCUGGAAAGAUUCCCUAGAGCUGCCAGGAGGAGGCGCCACCUACACAGACGAAGGAGGUACGAGAUAUGACAGUCUUCAGUGGUUCGCACCUGAAAUCUACUUUCCACAGGAGUACUGAAAGAGGACAAGAAAGCAUAGUCCAAAUAGGAUUCAACUGGAACACUUACCAGCCCAUCACACGUGCUAAGAGCUGCUAAACCACCUUUCAGCGCCCAGUUCUGGACCUCUCCAAGCAUGUGACAAAAGUUGUGAUUAUAAGACUGGAUCUUGGCAUUGGUGAUUCCUCC
Mauremys reevesii (Reeves's turtle) is the source of this 729-nucleotide long non-coding RNA. RefSeq lists it as uncharacterized. NCBI's taxonomy places the organism in Eukaryota, Metazoa, Chordata, Testudines, Geoemydidae. The transcript is spliced from 3 exons. The record is from RefSeq and is a predicted model, not a curated record.